ACAUGCCUACAACAUAGCAUUAAUGCAAUAGAUCCCAUUAGAACUUUGUAGUUAAGCACGACCGGGCUAGAGUAGUACUGGGAUGGGUGACCGGCCGAGAAGUCCUAAUGUUUUACAUGCC
Picea glauca (white spruce) is the source of this 121-nucleotide non-coding RNA. Lineage: Eukaryota; Viridiplantae; Streptophyta; Pinopsida; Pinales; Pinaceae. The record is from Rfam.